GUCUUUAUGAAUAAAUAUAAGGUUGGGCCUGCCCAAUGAUGUAAUUGAAUGGCUGCGGUAUUUUAACCGUGCAAAGGUAGCAUAAUCAUUAGUUCUUUAAAUGGGAACUGGAAUGAAUGGUUUGACGAAAAAUAAUCUGUCUACGUUAUGAUAAAUUGAAUUUUAUCUUUUGGUUAAAAAGCCUAACUGAUUUUAAGGGACGAGAAGACCCUAUAGAGUUUGUAUGAUGAAUAUAUUUUAGGAGUUGGGCUUGAGUAUUUAUUUACUAUAAUAUAGAAAUUAUAUUUUAUUGGGGAGGUGAGAGAAAAUAUAAAACUUCUUUUUUGAGAAGACUGGGAUGAUAGAACUAAUAUUGAUUAUGAUCUUGUAUUAUGGAAUGAAAGAAUAAAUUACCUUAGGGAUAACAGCGUAAUUUUGUUUGAGAGUUCAAAUCGAUGAUAAAGUUUGCGACCUCGAUGUUGGAUUAAGAUGACUAUUAGGUGUAGAAGUUUAAUUAGUAGGUCUGUUCNACCUUUNAAGNCUUAC
RNAcentral lists this ribosomal RNA (525 nucleotides) under Ornebius sp. 8 BHW-2013. RNAcentral's name for it is "partial small subunit ribosomal RNA". It matches the Rfam family "Bacterial large subunit ribosomal RNA", at positions 1819 to 2599 of the family's 2925-position model. The record is from RNAcentral. Lineage: Eukaryota; Metazoa; Arthropoda; Insecta; Orthoptera; Mogoplistidae.